Molecule: RNA transcript, 1903 nt
Organism: Nilaparvata lugens (brown planthopper)
Lineage: Eukaryota; Metazoa; Arthropoda; Insecta; Hemiptera; Delphacidae
Gene: PIG-A
Gene name: phosphatidylinositol N-acetylglucosaminyltransferase subunit A
Exons: 11
Source: RefSeq, a predicted model, not a curated record
AAGAUCAAAGAGUAUUAAUAUAGGUUAUGUUAGCUGUCAGUGUCAAAGUUGUGUUUUAUCAAUUUUUCAAUCAAAUUAGUUUUUUUUUCAAUUGAAGUGAUUGAAUUUGUUUAAACAGAGUUUUUUUUACUUUUAUAUUAUGUUCAAAUACAAUAAUAGGUUUCUUAAAUCAAUAAUUUCAAUUGAAUCAAUCUUAUAACUGGAUUUGAGGAGGACUAAUUCAACUGUUAUUUUGGGAUCUUAUUUCCUGUUAGUAUGGAAAUAAUUUUAUCAUCCACCAAAAAUGGCAGAAAAUAGUAACGUUCAGCUUUUUCCACCAUGCGACAUAAAAUAUGCAUGGUGUCCGACUUCUUCUACCCAAACAUGGGUGGAGUUGAGGAGCAUAUAUUCAAUCUAUCACAAUGUCUCCUUCUUAGAGGACAUAAAGUUAUUGUCAUGACACAUGCUUAUGAGGACCGUAUUGGAGUUCGAUAUAUGACUAAUGGUCUCAAGGUGUAUUAUCUUCCGAUGAAAACAUUCUACAAUCAGUGCGUACUGCCAACCUGCAUCAGUGCUCUGCCCCUGAUUCGCUACGUGUUCCUCAGAGAGCAAGUAACCAUCGUUCAUGGUCAUUCGGCUUUCUCGGCGUUGGCUCACGAGGCUUCGAUCAUCGCUCGACUGCUUGGCAUCAAGACCAUUUUCACGGAUCAUUCCCUUUUUGGAUUUGCUGAUACAUCGGCGAUAAUCACGAACAAACUGCUGGAACUUUCGUUAGCCGAUUGUAAUCACUGUAUAUGUGUAUCACAUAUAGGCAAAGAGAACACGGUACUGAGGGCUCGAGUCAAUCAUGAGCGGGUGUCUGUAAUCCCAAAUGCUGUUGACACAACCGUCUUCACUCCUCAGCCAGAAAACCGCAAAAAAGAUGCAAUUACUAUUGUUGUCGUCAGUCGACUCGUUUACCGGAAGGGUAUUGACCUGCUGGCCCAAAUAAUCGUAGACAUCUGCCAAAAAUAUAAAACAAUUGAGUUUGUGAUUGGCGGGGAUGGUAGCAAACGUGCAUUAUUGGAGGAGACGUGUGAACGUCAUGGACUGACCUCUAGAGUUGAGAUUCUAGGCAGUCUUGCUCACUCUCAAGUCCGCAACGUUCUAACAAGGGGCCACAUAUUCCUCAAUACAUCUUUGACUGAGGCUUAUUGCAUGGCUAUUGUUGAAGCUGCAUCUUGCGGGCUACAGGUAGUCAGUACAAGAGUUGGCGGGAUUCCUGAAGUUCUUCCACCUGAACUAAUUUACUUGACUGAACCCAAUGUUCCAUCUUUGUUAGCUGGCCUGGAGAAAGCAAUAGCGGACUUGGAGAGUGGAAUGGUAGUCUCUCCUAUCGAAUGUCAUCUCAAGGUCAAAGCACUCUACAACUGGAUGAAUAUCACUGAACGCACUGAGAAAGUUUACAAUUUGGUCGUCGGAGAACCAGUCAAAGAUUUAACUGCUCAACUACAGAGGUGCUUAUGAUUACCUGUCACCUGAUGGCAAAAUGUCAACCGGCAUGUUCCUGUUCACUGUGCUGAUAUGUUUCUUGUACCUCAUGCUACGAGCUCUCGAAUGGCUUGUACCACGAAAUGAAAUUGAUUUGGCAAGAGAUUUCAACAGACAAGAGAGGGAAUCGCCAGCUCACAAGCGCAGACGCAGUGAAUAAUGAAUAAACAUUCAUUGAUUCAUGAUUCAUCAAAGAAAAACGACAUUCACAAAAUUGGUGCCAAAGAAUUGUCUUCUAUGAAAACAUUAGCAUUUAAACUCUGUAAUUAAGAUCUUUUGUUAAGGAAAUUGUAUGAAAAAAUCAAUUGUUUAUUACUUGUUCCUAAUUUUGGAAUUUUACUGUACAGAUUUUAAAUUUGUUACUGAAAUACAUUUUACCCAUUUUGGUGGUCAA